GUCACUGCUAUUAAUUCUACAAAAGCUUGUCUGAAAGAUAAAACAUACACCCUGCAGCUGCAGCUCACCAUCACCUCUGCUUGUUAUGCUUACCUCCUCCUCCUCCUCAUGAGUGCCGUCUACUUUGCCAUCAUCGCCUUCUGUCUGUUUAGGAGAACAGUAGUCUGUGGCAAUGGAAAGAGUUCAUAACAGAUGGUGGAAACAAGAAGGCAACUUU
This is a non-coding RNA of Ceratotherium simum simum (southern white rhinoceros), 217 nucleotides long. The record is from RefSeq and is a predicted model, not a curated record. NCBI's taxonomy places the organism in Eukaryota, Metazoa, Chordata, Mammalia, Perissodactyla, Rhinocerotidae.